Molecule: ribosomal RNA, 440 nt
Filed under: uncultured bacterium
Lineage: Bacteria
Description: partial 16S ribosomal RNA
Rfam family: Bacterial small subunit ribosomal RNA
Source: RNAcentral
CCUACGGGUGGCAGCAGUGGGGGAUAUUGCACAAUGGGGGGAACCCUGAUGCAGCGACGCCGCGUGGGUGAAGGAGCGUUUCGGCGCGUAAAGCCCUAUCGGCAGGGACGAAGAUGACGGUACCUGACAAAGAAGCCCCGGCUAACUACGUGCCAGCAGCCGCGGUAAUACGUAGGGGGCAAGCGUUAUCCGGAUUUACUGGGUGUAAAGGGGGCGCAGACGGCAAUGAAAGCCAGGAGUGAAAGCCCGGGGCCCAACCCCGGGACUGCUCUUGGAACUGCAUGGCUGGCGUACAGGAGGGGCAGGCGGAAUUCCUAGUGUAGCGGUGGAAUGCGUAGAUAUUAGGAGGAACACCGGUGGCGAAGGCGGCCUGCUGGACUGUGACUGACGUUGAGGCCCAAAGGCGUGGGGAGCAAACAGGAUUAGAUACCCUAGUAGUC